RNAcentral lists this ribosomal RNA (369 nucleotides) under uncultured phototrophic eukaryote. Its description in RNAcentral is "SSU rRNA". It matches the Rfam family "Bacterial small subunit ribosomal RNA", at positions 524 to 896 of the family's 1533-position model. The record is from RNAcentral.
UACGGGGGAUGCAAGCGUUAUCCGGAAUCAUUGGGCGUAAAGCGCCUGUAGGUUGUUUAAUAAGUCUGUUGUUAAAGACUAGGGCUCAACCCUAGAAAAGCAAUGGAAACUAUUAGACUAGAGUAUGGCAGGGGUAGAGGGAAUUUCUAGUGUAGCGGUGAAAUGCGUAGAUAUUAGAAAGAACACCAGCGGCGAAAGCGCUCUACUGGACCAUUACUGACACUCAGAGGCGAAAGCUAGGGUAGCAAAAGGGAUUAGAUACCCCUGUAGUCCUAGCAGUAAACGAUGGAUACUAGAUGUUGCCCGUUCACCGCAGUGUCAAAGCUAACGCGUUAAGUAUCCCGCCUGGGAAGUAUGCUCGCAAGAGUG